AUACGGAGGGUGCAAGCGUUAAUCGGAAUCACUGGGCGUAAAGCGUGCGUAGGCGGCGCAGUAAGUCAGGGGUGAAAGCCCUCGGCUCAACCGAGGAAUUGCCUCUGAUACUGCUGUGCUUGAGGCUUGGAGAGGCAGGCGGAAUUCCAGGUGUAGGAGUGAAAUCCGUAGAUAUCUGGAGGAACACCGGUGGCGAAGGCGGCCUGCUGGACAAGUUCUGACGCUGAGGUACGAAAGCGUGGGUAGCAAACAGGAUUAGAUACCCUGGUAGUCCACGCCGUAAACGAUGGAUGCUAGGUGUCGGGCCGUUGGGUUCGGUGCCGUAGUUAACGCGAUAAGCAUCCCGCCUGGGGAGUACGGUCGCAAGGCUGAA
RNAcentral lists this ribosomal RNA (373 nucleotides) under uncultured bacterium. RNAcentral describes it as "bacterial SSU rRNA". It matches the Rfam family "Bacterial small subunit ribosomal RNA", at positions 523 to 898 of the family's 1533-position model. The record is from RNAcentral.